UUUGAAGCUCGGCCCUGAACAAUUGUUGUUGUUGGACAGAAAUGUGCCGUUUAAAAGUAUAUUUACAAGGAUUAUUUAUUUAUUUAGCUGUAGCUUAGUUAUACAAAAUAUGGGGAAGUGAUCGGAUGUAUCAGAAAUUAGAAUUCCUGUGUUUAUGUACUGUGGUUGGUGAAAGUUUGUGUAGAAGUUGUCAAUGACUGAGGCUGUGUUAGUGGUGACUCGAGUUGGCUUAACCAGCUGUACGAAUGAGUUUGAUUGCACAGUAUCUACAUGAUUUUGUUAUUGGUGCUACACAGAUUGAGAUUCACCCAUCAGAUCCCACAAUGCAUUGAGAAUAGCAGCACAGGCCAAGUGUAUAACUCCCUUUUCUGGACCAAUCUAUGUAACAACACAUUGUAAGUUAGUCCACCUUCAUAUAGAGCGAUGAAGAUCAAGAUGAUUGUUUUUAAUGACACUCCGUUCAGUCUGCCACCUGCUGGCGCCGCCAACAAUGAGCGGGGUUGGAUUUGCCGUCUACGAUGCAGUGAACGCCUGGCUUAACAGCAAACAGUAUAAUACCGAUUAUCAUCACGGAAACAUUUAGACAAAAUGGUCAAUUAUUAUCAGAAGUGAUCUAAAUCACUACAUGUAUAAACAAUUCUCCUUUCUGUAUGAUGAAACAAUUAAAUAAUUAUUUUCCAAAAAUACAGAAAGUGCAAACAGAAACUAUAAUGAAAAAUAUGAUAAUGAUGAUGGUGAACACGUUUGUAGUGGUAAUUGACCGGGUGCUGAAGAGGUGGUGACAAGCAGCAGCAUAGAAAACAAUCACAUUAAUAAUAGUAGUUCUGUAAGUGGAUGGUGAUGUGAAGAGGAGUCAACCAUUCAGAUUGCAGAUGUUAUACCCAUAUAUAUAUAUAUAUAAUAAUAACUGCAGUGAUAAAGAAUCUACUCAACCCAUCUUAAUUGGGAUUCGCUGGUAAUUGUUCUCCAAAAUCCUCCAAAGUCAGACACAAUUUUAGCAAAAUCUUGUCCAAGAACAAAUGGUGACAAUGCCUUAACAGUUUGACAUACUGCAAAAUAUAGAAGAAAUAGAAUGUUGUGGCCACAUGUUCUAUUUAAACCCUGAUAAAACAAAAUUGUUUUUACGUUAUGUAUAUUUUUCAUUAUGGUUAAGUCGUUAAUUGUAUUUGCUCUAGAGGUUAUUAAGUUCAUAUGAACAGUAUUAACAAUAAUUAUCUCCAUAAAAAAUACCAGCUGGUUAAAAAAAACUCUAAUAUAUGAAAUUUAUUAUUCAUCAGGAUAAAAUAACUCAUUUACUCUCAAAGAAAUCAGAAAUCAGAAAACCACUUUGAAGAAAUUCAAAAUAUUAGAAAUUUGUAUGAUUUUUUUUAUAUCUGUACUCACUAACUUCAGUGCCUCUUCCACAGGUAAAUGUUGGGCCAUGUCCAAAUAAGCCAUCAUUCACAUUUGUACCAAUAAUCACAUACGCACAAGAAUAGUCCGGGUCUGUGUGCUUGGGAGAAAAUUUUGAAAAAAUAGUAUCAAAUAAAAGAGAUCUGAAAGAAAUACAUAGUCUGAAAGUGUAAUGUCAUGAUGAGGAUCUUAGGUGUGGAAGUGCAGGGCUCUGAGCUGUAUCCAUCUACUGUUCUCAGUUCCAGUAGAAAAGAGUCUUGAAAUAGAGUUGGAGAGGGCAAAUGGGGGCAGCAUAAAGGUGACCGGGCUCAAUCAAGUUUAGGUGAUUUUUAACUACUCAAACAUUUUUUUUCUUAAAAAAAUGUUCAGCGUGAAAAGGUGGCUGACUGGAGAAGGGAUGCUGUUUUUGGGGAUGUGCCCCUUUCAUUUCAGCGCAUCCCCUGGGCCUAGAUAAUGCCAAUGCUUGGAUGGUUGGUUCAUGCACACAGGGCGAGAACAAAUUGAGAAAAUUUGACAUUACUAUUAAUAGAAAAGAUUUUAAUUUUUUUUUCAUACUUUUUUGAAAAAAAAAAAAACCAAAAAAA
Long non-coding RNA from Anneissia japonica, 1976 nucleotides. RefSeq lists it as uncharacterized. Lineage: Eukaryota; Metazoa; Echinodermata; Crinoidea; Comatulida; Comatulidae. The transcript is spliced from 2 exons. The record is from RefSeq and is a predicted model, not a curated record.